This 546-nucleotide ribosomal RNA is filed under the name uncultured bacterium. Its description in RNAcentral is "bacterial SSU rRNA". It matches the Rfam family "Bacterial small subunit ribosomal RNA", at positions 355 to 896 of the family's 1533-position model. The record is from RNAcentral.
UAGGGAAUCUUCCACAAUGGACGCAAGNUUGAUGGAGCAACGCCGCGUGAGUGAAGAAGGUUUUCGGAUCGUAAAGCUCUGUUGUUGGUGAAGAAGGAUAGAGGUAGUAACUGGCCUUUAUUUGACGGUAAUCAACCAGAAAGUCACGGCUAACUACGUGCCAGCAGCCGCGGUAAUACGUAGGUGGCAAGCGUUGUCCGGAUUUAUUGGGCGUAAAGCGAGCGCAGGCGGAAAAAUAAGUCUAAUGUGAAAGCCCUCGGCUUAACCGAGGAACUGCAUCGGAAACUGUUUUUCUUGAGUGCAGAAGAGGAGAGUGGAACUCCAUGUGUAGCGGUGGAAUGCGUAGAUAUAUGGAAGAACACCAGUGGCGAAGGCGGCUCUCUGGUCUGCAACUGACGCUGAGGCUCGAAAGCAUGGGUAGCAAACAGGAUUAGAUACCCUGGUAGUCCACGCUGUAAACGCUGUCGAUUUGGGGGUUGGGGUUUAACUUUGGCGCCCGUAGCUAACGUGAUNNUCGACCGCCUGGGGAGUACGGCCGCAAGGUUA